RNAcentral lists this small RNA (27 nucleotides) under Bombyx mori (domestic silkworm). RNAcentral's name for it is "ovarian small RNA-16190". The record is from RNAcentral. Lineage: Eukaryota; Metazoa; Arthropoda; Insecta; Lepidoptera; Bombycidae.
GAUUGAGCUACUGACCUUCGCCUCUAC